GAAGAAGGUGCAGGGUUGCGUGUUGUCAUCUAUAAACUAAUUGUUAGUGUUCUUCAAUUUGUCGCAAAGCUUGAUGAUGGCAGUGAGCUUCAAGUUGCGGAACAUGACGUGGAGUUUGAGGUUAACAUAAAACAUUUUACGGUUGAAAAAUUGAUAGAACUCAUUAGGUCAAAAAUUAUAUGGGGGCUUGGUCAAGAGGUCCAUAUUUUGUGUCAAGAAAAGCACUUUGAAUCAGUUGAGAGGAUUGAUAGCUAUUGGAAGUUGUUGACAGCUUUUCUUGAGAGAUGGAAAGAGAAAGAAUUGCUUGUGCUUGCGCAAGUUGUGGACAUUGCAAAGGGGGUUACAACAUCAUCUUGCUCUGGAAAUAUCCCAUCUAGUGAUAUAGUGGACAAUAUCAUUAGCUCAAGUUCUGAAGUUUACCAGUCAAAUGCUAGCACAAGAUUCCGCGACUUGUAA
RNAcentral lists this ribosomal RNA (456 nucleotides) under Triticum aestivum (bread wheat). RNAcentral describes it as "partial small subunit ribosomal RNA". The record is from RNAcentral. Lineage: Eukaryota; Viridiplantae; Streptophyta; Magnoliopsida; Poales; Poaceae.